CAGCAGCCGCGGUAAUACGUAGGUGGCAAGCGUUGUCCGGAAUUAUUGAGCGUAGAGGGCUCGCAGGCGGUUCCUUAAGUCUGAUGUGAAAGCCCCCGGCUCAACCGGGGAGGGUCAUUGGAAACUGGGAAACUUGAGUGCAGAAGAGGAGAGUGGAAUUCCACGUGUAGCGGUGAAAUGCGUAGAGAUGUGGAGGAACACCAGUGGCGAAGGCGACUCUCUGGUCUGUAACUGACGCUGAGGAGCGAAAGCGUGGGGAGCGAACAGGAUUAGAUACCCCCGUAGUCCCUGUCUCUUAUAA
RNAcentral lists this ribosomal RNA (301 nucleotides) under uncultured bacterium. RNAcentral describes it as "partial 16S ribosomal RNA". It matches the Rfam family "Bacterial small subunit ribosomal RNA", at positions 509 to 809 of the family's 1533-position model. The record is from RNAcentral.